AGUGAACGCUGGCGGUAGGCCUAACACAUGCAAGUCGAACGGCAGCACAGUAAGAGCUUGCUCUUACGGGUGGCGAGUGGCGGACGGGUGAGGAAUACAUCGGAAUCUACUUUUUCGUGGGGGAUAACGUAGGGAAACUUACGCUAAUACCGCAUACGACCUACGGGUGAAAGCAGGGGAUCUUCGGACCUUGCGCGAUUGAAUGAGCCGAUGUCGGAUUAGCUAGUUGGCGGGGUAAAGGCCCACCAAGGCGACGAUCCGUAGCUGGUCUGAGAGGAUGAUCAGCCACACUGGAACUGAGACACGGUCCAGACUCCUACGGGAGGCAGCAGUGGGGAAUAUUGGACAAUGGGCGCAAGCCUGAUCCAGCCAUACCGCGUGGGUGAAGAAGGCCUUCGGGUUGUAAAGCCCUUUUGUUGGGAGAUAAAAGCAGCAGGUUAAUACCCCGCUGUUCUGACGGUACCCAAAGAAUAAGCACCGGCUAACUUCGUG
Molecule: ribosomal RNA, 492 nt
Filed under: uncultured bacterium
Lineage: Bacteria
Description: partial 16S ribosomal RNA
Rfam family: Bacterial small subunit ribosomal RNA
Source: RNAcentral